Molecule: long non-coding RNA, 570 nt
Organism: Tupaia belangeri chinensis (Chinese tree shrew)
Lineage: Eukaryota; Metazoa; Chordata; Mammalia; Scandentia; Tupaiidae
Exons: 3
Source: RefSeq, a predicted model, not a curated record
UUCCUUACUGGGAGGGUCUUGAUUUUGUUUCAUUCCUGUUUCUUCUCCGACUCAAUCCACUGGUGAACCCUAAUUGGGUGAGGAGAGAAGACAUCUCCAGGACAAGUAUGAAAUGCUGUUUGAGGAGUGGAAAGACAGAGACCCUUGUCUCUGAUGAUAAAUCUGCAUCGCUGAAAUAAAUGGAAUGAAGCCGCCCCACCUUCCUCCAUCCAAGAUGAAGUAGAGAACCCAGCUGGCUGAAUCCGGCACUGAACACUACUUAUCACAGGCUGGCAUAGAAAGUCUGAAGAAACAGUGCUACUUGCUGGGCUCCAAUCGUACUGAAAGAGAGGUUUAAAAUGCGGUUCAAAAGAAAAUCCCGCUUCCAUCUACUGUGUGACCUUGGGCAAGUAAGUCAUCUGACCUCUCUGACCCUUUGUUUCCCCAUCUAUUAAAUGGGGUGAUAAUUCUGAGAUUAUAAGAUUGUUACGAGAAGUGUAUCAAUAACACCAGCAAAAUACCUGGCCAUGGUAAAGUCUGAAGAAAUGGAAAUUAAUUAAACAAGGGGUGACUUCUGUCUUCAACUUAGCC